GGGCCGGUAGCUCAGUCAGGUUGAGCGCUCGGCUGAUAACCGGGCGGUCCUCGGUUCAAAUCCGAGCCGGCCCA
RNAcentral lists this transfer RNA (74 nucleotides) under Halobacteriales archaeon QS_1_68_17. Its description in RNAcentral is "tRNA-Ile". It matches the Rfam family "tRNA". From Rfam's summary of the family: Transfer RNA (tRNA) molecules are approximately 80 nucleotides in length. Their secondary structure includes four short double-helical elements and three loops (D, anti-codon, and T loops). Further hydrogen bonds mediate the characteristic L-shaped molecular structure. tRNAs have two regions of fundamental functional importance: the anti-codon, which is responsible for specific mRNA codon recognition, and the 3' end, to which the tRNAs corresponding amino acid is attached (by aminoacyl-tRNA synthetases). tRNAs cope with the degeneracy of the genetic code in two manners: having more than one tRNA (with a specific anti-codon) for a particular amino acid; and 'wobble' base-pairing, i.e. permitting non-standard base-pairing at the 3rd anti-codon position. The record is from RNAcentral. Lineage: Archaea; Methanobacteriati; Methanobacteriota; Halobacteria; Halobacteriales.